Molecule: ribosomal RNA, 498 nt
Filed under: uncultured bacterium
Lineage: Bacteria
Description: partial 16S ribosomal RNA
Rfam family: Bacterial small subunit ribosomal RNA
Source: RNAcentral
GACGAACGCUGGCGGCGUGCCUAAUACAUGCAAGUCGAGCGGACGAAUCGAAAGCUUGCUUUUGAUUCGUUAGCGGCGGACGGGUGAGUAACACGUGGGCAACCUGCCCUGUAGACGGGGAUAACACCGAGAAAUCGGUGCUAAUACCGGAUAACACGAAAUGUCGCAUGACGUUUCGUUGAAAGACGGCGCAAGCUGUCGCUACAGGAUGGGCCCGCGGCGCAUUAGCUAGUUGGUGAGGUAACGGCUCACCAAGGCGACGAUGCGUAGCCGACCUGAGAGGGUGAUCGGCCACACUGGGACUGAGACACGGCCCAGACUCCUACGGGAGGCAGCAGUAGGGAAUCUUCCGCAAUGGACGAAAGUCUGACGGAGCAACGCCGCGUGAGCGAAGAAGGCCUUCGGGCCGUAAAGCUCUGUUGUUAGGGAAGAACAAGUAACGCAGUAACUGGCGUUACCGUGACGGUACCUAACGAGAAAGCCACGGCUAACUACGUG